GUCCAGACUCCUACGGGAGGCAGCAGUGAGGAAUAUUGGUCAAUGGCCGAGAGGCUGAACCAGCCAAGUCGCGUGAGGGAAGAAUGUCCUAUGGAUUGUAAAACUCUUUUGUCAGGGAGCAAAGUCACCCACGUGUGGGUGUUGGAGAGUACCUGAAGAAAAAGCAUCGGCUAACUCCGUGCCAGCAGCCGCGGUAAUACGGAGGAUGCGAGCGUUAUCCGGAUUUAUUGGGUUUAAAGGGUGCGUAGGCGGAAUAUCAAGUCAGCGGUAAAAAUUCGGGGCUCAACCCCGUCGUGCCGUUGAAACUGAUGUUCUUGAGUGGGCGAGAAGUAUGCGGAAUGCGUGGUGUAGCGGUGAAAUGCAUAGAUAUCACGCAGAACUCCGAUUGCGAAGGCAGCAUACCGGCGCCCGACUGACGCUGAGGCACGAAAGCGUGGGUAUCGAACAGGAUUAGAUACCCUCGUAUUA
RNAcentral lists this ribosomal RNA (468 nucleotides) under uncultured bacterium. RNAcentral's name for it is "bacterial SSU rRNA". It matches the Rfam family "Bacterial small subunit ribosomal RNA", at positions 329 to 795 of the family's 1533-position model. The record is from RNAcentral.